Molecule: ribosomal RNA, 206 nt
Filed under: uncultured bacterium
Lineage: Bacteria
Description: partial 16S ribosomal RNA
Rfam family: Bacterial small subunit ribosomal RNA
Source: RNAcentral
CGUGUAGGCGGAGAUUCAAGUCAGAUGUGAAAUCUCUGGGCUUAACCCGGAAACUGCAUUUGAAACUGAAUCCCUUGAGUAUCGGAGAGGCAAGCGGAAUUCCUAGUGUAGCGGUGAAAUGCGUAGAUAUUAGGAGGAACACCAGUGGCGAAGGCGGCUUGCUGGACGACAACUGACGCUGAGGCGCGAAAGCGUGGGAGCAAACA